Molecule: long non-coding RNA, 7433 nt
Filed under: Elaeis guineensis (African oil palm)
Lineage: Eukaryota; Viridiplantae; Streptophyta; Magnoliopsida; Arecales; Arecaceae
Description: long non-coding RNA (EGUI_LNC046611)
Source: RNAcentral
GGACUUUUGAUUAGGCUUAAGAAGUCCUAAAUCAUUAAGGAUUUGGUAGAAAUCCUAAUGGGUUUAGAUCAAACAUGCUAGCACGUAAUUAAGUCCAUGAAUCCCCAUCUAUUAGAAUUCCUAAUUGGACUAGGAAUUAGUUAUGACAAUUGGUUGGUGCCUAACUAACUCUCUCCCUCUCUUUCCUUUCUUACGAAGGAAUCCUUGUUGGACAAGGAUCCCUCCACACCCCCUAUUCCACAUGCCCAAUGGUUGGGUGUUGGGUUUAUGAUGGAGUCCUUUUAGGACUCCAAGGAUGACUCACAUGGGACGCCCAAGAGUUGGGUUCCCAUGUGGAUACUUGUCUAUAAAAGGGGCUGACGCCCAAGGGGUUUAGGGGCUGGUUUCCACAUGCCUAAGAGAGAGGAAAAGAGAGAGAAGUCAUAAGCCAAAGAUUGGUGGCGCAAGGAGAAGAGGAAGAAAGGCAUGUGCUGAAUUCUUUAGAAGAAAUUCAGCAAAAGUAGAUUGGGAAAAAUCUUUGAUCAAGACUCGUGUGGAUACUGUUGGAAGGCAUACGCGUGUGUGCCUCAAGAGAGACCAAUCAGUGAUCAAAGCAAAUUGAUUAGAAAGUAUAUCAAUUCCUCUUUCUCCUUUGAUAGCUAUAUGUUUCAUGUUUGGUUAGAAUCAUCAAGGUGAUUAUGGGAUUGGGAUUUGGAUCACAAAGUGUUGAUGCAUGAUUAAGAUUUUAAAAUCUAUUUUUCGCUGCGUAUCUGAAUCUCAACAGUGGUAUCAGAGCCAUCCUUGAUUGAUUCAAUUAAACGGCAUAUUAUUGUUGUGGUAUAGAUUAGAUUUAGUUCAUCAUAUGUCAUGUGCUAAAAUUUCAGCAUUGCUGAUUUCCUGUAUUGAUCUCUGAAAUAAAAAAAUUUUGCUCAUGAUCAAUUUUUAUUAUCAGAAUCCACGAAUUUAGAGCUUGUAUGACAAGUUGGGGAACCUUCUAGCCAUCUGAAUUCGUUAAGGAUUCACUGUGAUUCGCAUCAGAUGCAUACGGGAAAAGGCUGUAGCAUGAGAUGCUAUCCCUUUCGCAAUUGAUUAUGCACGACUGGCCACCCUCAUAGUUAGAUGAGCCAUGGUGGGGUGUCCUAACAUGCUAUCUUAUCUAAGAGGGAUGGAGCUUCAUUGAUGGGGCGUCCCACAGUUCUAUGUUGGGCAUCCCACAUGAAUCAUGAGAGAAAGGUGCAACAAGUCAGAUUCAGGGUUUCAUGAACUUUUCCUUGACUACAAUUCAUGAUGCUAAUUGGGUUAGUCUUUAUGAUUGUAGAUCAACUCAAAUACAUGAGUUCUAAUCAGAUUAGCACUCUUAAUUAAUUAAGGGUUAAUCAAGUUGUCAUUGCCCUAAUUUGACUAGAGUUUGAGUCAUGGUUGGCUAGAUCUUGGAAACCCGAUUUGAUUGGAUUUGUUUAAGAUCUUGCUAAUCUAAUUCAAAAGGUGACAUGAGAUUGACUCAUAAUUAAUGACAUAGGUCGAGUUGAAUCCAUGUGAUCUUGAUUAGGUCAAGAGUUGAACCAAAAUCAAGAUUAUUGGACCGAAGACACAUGAAAAACCCUAUAUGGGUUUGAACCCAUAUUGAAAUUACAUAAACAUAUGUUUGAAUGAUAUCACAAUUGGAAUAACAUGAUUUAUUCUAAUUCCAUGCUUUACUCUUAUACAUUGCGUGGUGGAUGGUUAUGGACUAGAAGCACCCAUAAGAUGGAUGUUUAUGAUAUAUGUAUCUGUGAUGGCUGAUUGUAUGAAUGUAUUUGCAAUGGUUGUAAAUUUUUUUAAAUAGGGACGUGGAGUCCUUGAUGUAUUCAUAUAAUUAGCUGUAUCUUUUUUUUCUUCCAAUGUAUUUUUUCAACUACCGAUCGGGAUGUUUUAUAUGUUGAUGUAAAAGUAAGGAUAGGGAAUUUGAUUUGUAAAUGGAUAGAAAAUGUUUCUUUAUGUUUACGAAUGAAGAAAGAAGAUGAAGCACUUGUCAAAGUCUUCAUGGAGAUGAAGACAGGACUACUAGAUGGAUCAAGAGCUGAGGUGCAUGAAGAUCAACCAUGAGAUGGCUGAUUUUGUGAUGCACUUAGGAUGAGAUCCAUAAUUUAUCCAAGUGGUUCGAAUGGAUUACAUUAGGAAAGUCCAUAACCAUUCUGUUUUAAUUUAUGCUCUCUUAUGUUGGUAGUUAGAUGUAUAUACUGCCUAUGAUGGAUAUAUACAUGUUAUGGAUGUGCAUGAGAUCAAAAGUCCCUUAUAAAAGAUUAUAUUAAGUUUUAAUGGCGAAAGUGUUAAAAACAUUAUCUAUGUUUUCUUUCGUGCCAAGCUAAUAGAGUAUAUUAAAAACUGUAGUGGAUUUGUUGUGCUAUCUAUAAGACUCGUUAUGGGGUUCGUAUGAUGUUGACUUAGUGUAUAGUGAUGUUUAUGGCAUAAUUGAGUACGCUACCUUGUUGUGCGAUCCAUAAAAGGUAGUAUUAUUUAGAUAUGACCAUAUGGGAAUGAAAGGUGUGACUUGACUAACAUGUUGUAGCUUGUUGUGCUAUCCACAAUGCUACAAGUAUUUUAGAGGCAAAAGAAAAAUUGAAAGUUGUAUGAGAUGCAAUUGGUAAGAGUUAUUUAUUCUUGAACUCAUCGAAGUUUGUUUUUCUAUCCAUAAGAUUUAUACGAGGGAUUGGGACCUCAACCCUAUUAAGGAAUCUAGCAACAGGAUCUCUUGUUUUCUAUACUAGUGCUAUAGAAUUCGUCAAAUAAAUGGAAAACACGAUUAGACAAAAGAUCUCAUCUAAUUGUGCAUGUCAUCAUGAGUAGUUUGCUUAUGAUUUAUUCUUGUUUUGUAGAUUUAAUCUGCAUCAUGGUAUUGUCACUAACACUGUGUGGCAUACUUGAUGUCGAUAAAUUGAUUGGAUCAAAUUAUACGACUAGUUGAGGAACUUAAGAAUAGUUCUCAUCCUGGAGAAAGUCUUCUAUAUUCUUGAUGCUCCUGAUCCCAAUCCUAUUGGGAAUGAUGCUACUGAGGAAAAGGCCGUAUAUAAGAUGUGACAGGAUGAUAUUAUAAUUGUUAAGUGUAUUAUGUUGGCCUCCAUGAACAAUGAGUUGUAGAGGCAGCAUGAGAGCAUGGAACCGUAAUCUAUACUCAAGCUAAAGAGGUUAUAUGGAGAGCAUAGUAUAAUUGCUAGAUAUGAGAUAUCGAAGCAGUAGUUCCGUGCGAGGAUGAGCGAGGGCACAUUCGUAUAGACCCAUAUGCUCAAAAUGAUUGACUUGAUCAUUCGAUUGGAUUAAUUGGGUUUUGUAAUGAAUGGAGAGCUUAGCCAGGAUUUGAUCCUGCAAUCAUUACCUGAUUCUUUUCCUCAGUUUGUCAUUAAUUUUUAUAUGAACAAACUGAACAUUAGUCUACCAGAGCUGCUCAAUAUGUUGAAGAUAGCUGAGGGCCACUUCAAGAUUGAAAAGGCUCCUGUAAUGCUAGUAGAUGGCACUAAGAAAAUUGGCAAGAAGGGUUCAAAAAAAAAAAUGAUUGAGAAACAAACUGGUAAAAAUAUUAAAACUCUUCGAUCUGAUCGAGAGGAUGAAUACCUAACCUGUGAAUUUCUUGAUUAUUUUAAAGAAAAUAGACACCUCUUUAUACACAAUUAAAUGGUGUCGCAGAAGGGAGGAAUCACACUCUAUUAGAUAUGGUGUGAUCUAUGAUGUGGUUCAUAAACCUUUCAAUCUCAUUCUGAAGCUAUGCACUUGAAAUAGCCGCAUAUGUUCUAAACAAAUUACAUUCAAAAUCUGUUUCUAGCACUCUAUAUGAGAUAUGGAAUGGAAAGAGGUCAAGUCUCAAAUAUUUAAAAGUAUGGGGCUAUUUGGUUUAUGUGAAAAAAGUUGACGGACAUAAGUUCAGUGCUAGAUCGGAGAAGUAUAGAUUUAUGGAUUUUCCCAAGAAGAGUAUAGGAUACUACUAUCAUCUUCCUGAAAAAAAGAUGUUUGUCAGUAGGCAUGCCGCUUUCUUAGAAAAAGAUUUUAUCCGAUAAGGAAGCAGUGGGAGAACGGUUAAACUUAGAGAAGUUCAAGACUCGCAAUCUAUUCCAUAAUAAUUUGUAGAGAGUCCACAUGAUGUUCCUCAACCAGACGUGCCCUUUGAUGAGGUACUAUCACGACACACCUCUUCUCCAAAGGUCAAACAGUGCGUAAUGUACCACUUAGAUAUGUGUUUGUUAUUGAGAAUAAUAAUGAGCCAUACAUCAUUGAGAAUGAUGAUUCUUUGACCCAUUCGGAAGCUGUCAUGAGUAAUGACUCUGAUAGAUGACUUGAAGCCACAAAAUCCGAAAUGGACUCCAUGUAUAUUAACCAAAUAUGGACUUUAGUUGAUGCUCCUGAGAGUGUGAUCCCAAUAGGUUGCAAAUGGAUCUUCAAGAAGAAGAUUGGAGUAGAUGGUCAAGUAGAAAUCUAUAAGGUUAGAUUGGUGGCAAAAGAUUUCAAACAAAGAAAAUGUGUUGACUAUGAAGAGAUCUUUUCACUGGUAGCAAUGCUUAAGUCCGUUUGGAUUUUGCUUGCUAUAGCUGUAUAUUAUGAUUAUGAGAUCUAGUAGAUGAAUGUUAAGACGGUUUUUCUCAAUGAAAAUCUUGAGGAAGAAGUAUAUAUGACUCAGUCAGAAAGGUUUGUCUUUAAUGGGAGGGCAAACCAAGUGUGCAGACUAAAAAAAUCUAUUUAUAGAUUGAAGUAGGCAUUGAGGAGUUGGAAUAUCCAUUUUGAUGAGACAGUCAAAUCGUUUGAUUUCAUAAAAAAUGUAGAUGAAUCAUAUGUGUAUAAGAAGAUUAGUGGGAGCACCAUUUUCUUAGUUUUAUAUAUAGAUGACAUACUGUUCAUUGAAAAUGAUGUCUCGAUGUUGCAAUCGAUCAAGAUUUGGUUAUCACGGAAGUUUUUCAUGGACUUGGGUGAAGCAUCCUACAUGAUAUUAAGAUCUAUAGAGAUAGAUCUAAGAGGAUGUUAGGUUUGUCUCAGUUUAGGUACAGUGUUGAAGAGGUUCAACAUGGAUGGGUGUAAAAAAAGUUACUUACCCAUGAGUUACAGCAUACAUCUCUUUAAGAAGAUGUCUCCUAAGACUUCUGAGGAUAGAGAGAAUGACCACUAUCCCUUAUGCUUCAGCAGUAGGAUCUAUUAUAUAUGUUAUGCUAUGUAUUAGGCCUGAUGUGGCUUAUACAUUAUGUAUAACUAGUAGAUUUCAGGUAGAUCUAGGUGAGGAUCAUUAGAAAGUUGUGAAAAAUAUUCUCAAGUAUUUGAGAAGGAUGAGAUAUUUUUUUGAUAUUGAAGGAUUAGAUUUGAAACUGAAAGGUUAUACUGAUUCUAGUUAUCAGUCUGAUCCAGAUAAUAGCAAAUCCAUCUCAGGAUAUAUUUUUACUCUGUAUAGAGAAGCAGUGAGCUGAAAAAAUUUCAAGUAGCAGACUGUUGCAGACUCAGUCACUAAGGCAGAGUACAUUGUUGCAAGUAAAGCUGCUAAGGAAGUCAUCUGGAUGAAGAAGUUCAUCACUGAGUUAGGUGGUUAUAGAGAUUGAACAUCUCGUGCCAUUUUAUUGUGACAACACUGGGGUUGUUGCCUAGGCGAAGGAAUCAAGGUCUCAUUAGAAAUCCAAGCAUAUCUUCAGAUGCUUCCACCUCAUUCGAAAGAUUGCCGACAGACAAGAUGUGAUCUUAGAGCGAAUCGAUACAAAGAACAAUAUAGCAGAUCUAUUUACUAAGGUCUUGUCACAGUAAUAGUUUGACUGCCAUCUUGAUUGUAUGGGCAUCAGAUACUGAGGUGAUUGGCUUUAGUGCAAGUGAGAGGUUGAAAGAAUAGUGUCCUGCAAGCCAAUUGUAUGAAUGUUGUGAUAGAAUUUUUCUGUAAUAUCUCCAUACAUGUACAUGAUAUUUAUUAAAUAUUAACAACAUGAGACAUUAUAUUUCGUCAUAUGCUAUAUAUUUUAUUUCACUUUGAUUUAAUUAAGAUUAUGAUAAACUUCAUACAUUAAGACAAUGAUUUUAAGACGAUGAUGAGAUCAUGCUAGUGAGACUUGAACCAUGAUAUAUCUAGUUUUAAAUGUUUCUAGUCGUAGGAUCAUCGAGUCGGAGAUUGAUGAUACUGGUAAGAUUGGCACAUCCUUUGCAUGCUCGGUGGAGAGGAUGAUUGAUCUCACAAUCACUUAUAUAUGGACAUUAAUACAAUGAUGUGGGUGCUCAUUAAAAGAAUGAGUUCAUUAAACUGAUCCAGAGGGAGAACAUUUGGAGCCUUACCAGCAUGUCAAAGAUGGUUCUUCAGUAGGAGUGGUGCAAGUGAUCCUUAAAUCUGAGAUCAUCAUUGUACUUUGUGUAUAUGGAUUUGUACUUUGGUUUAUACCCUAGCAUGACUCUUUGAAAUAUGUGUAGGAUGUUUUGGGUAUGGUGAAGUGUGCAUGAAAAUUGAGUGGUCAACAAGAAAUUGGUCAUUCCUAAGAGGAGAGAACAUCCUAUGUGAUCUCACAGGAUAAUGACUCAGUGAGUCUCUAGUCAGAGCAUAAUAAAUAUUGGAAAGAAUUUUUAAUGGUUCAUCAAUCGAGUCGUCAUCAUUAAAUCGAGAUACAUAUGGAUAGAUAUUUGGGCUUGACAUGAUUUCGUGCCCAUAAUCUAUCUGGAAUGUGUGAUUGGAGGAUUGAAUUGCACGGUAACUCAUCAUGAAAGAGUAUUUUGAUAUUCCAUCAAAUUUCACAUCUUUCAGAUAGUCAUGACACAUUGCUAGACAUCAAUCUUAACUUGUAGAUUCUCAUGAAUUAAAAAAUUUAAUUCAAUAAUUUAAUUAAAAGAGUUUUAAUUAAUUGUAACGUACGGACUGAUUUAGUCUAAGACCUAAUCAGAUUAGGUUGACUCAAGUUCGGACCAACUGCUGGCUAGAUGUAGAAUCAAUGGGUUACAAAAGGGAAUUGGUCUUGCAGUUUUGAUUAGGCUUAAGAAGUCCUAAAUCAAUAAAGAUUUGGUAGAAAUCCUAAUGGGUUUAGGUCAAGCAUGCUAGCACAUGAUUAAAUCCAUGAAUUCUCAUCUAUUAGGAUUCCUAAUUGGAUUAGGAAUUAGUUAUGACAAUUGGUUGGCGCCUAACUAACUCUAUCCCUCUCUUUUCUUUUUUAUGAAGGAAUCCUUGUUGGACAAGGAUCCCUCCUUGCUCCCUAUUCCAUACGCCUAAGGGUUGGGCGUUGGGUUUAUGAUGUUGGGUUUAUGAUGGAGUCCUAAAAGGACUCCAAGGAUGACUCACAUGGGACGCCCGAGAGUUGGGGUCCCAUAUGGAUACUUGUUUAUAAAAGGGGCUGAUGCCCAAGGGAUUUAGGGGUUGGUUUUCCACAUGUCUAAGAGCGAGGAAAAGAGAGAAGUCAUAAGCCAAAGGUUGCUGGUGCAAGGAGAAGAGGAAGAAAGCGUGUGCUGAAUUCUUCAGAAGAAAUUCAGCAAAACUAGAUUGG